Molecule: non-coding RNA, 81 nt
Organism: Bombyx mori (domestic silkworm)
Lineage: Eukaryota; Metazoa; Arthropoda; Insecta; Lepidoptera; Bombycidae
Source: Rfam
UGGGCUCGGUCGCGAGCUGCCUCCCGUGCGGCUGCAGUGCUCGCGUGUAGCACCAUGGGAUUCAGCUCACGGCCGCUCCCC